Drosophila navojoa is the source of this 253-nucleotide long non-coding RNA. Lineage: Eukaryota; Metazoa; Arthropoda; Insecta; Diptera; Drosophilidae. The record is from RefSeq and is a predicted model, not a curated record.
ACGGAGGCAGCGCUGGCAGCUGAGAAAACUCGGGUAUAUGAAGACUGAGCGCUGAACCCAUAAGACUCGCCGUAUUGCAGGUAGGGCAGGUGGCACUACCCCAAAAGGAAUUUCAUAACCUUAUCCUUUUGGGCCAAGUUAGCGACAGGACGAGCAUGUCGCCAAAUCGCUGGAUACUCUUGCUCAUCUUCUACAUAUCGUAUCUGCUGUUUGGCGCUGCCAUCUACUAUCACAUCGAGCAUGGCGAGGAGAA